RNAcentral lists this ribosomal RNA (443 nucleotides) under uncultured bacterium. RNAcentral describes it as "partial 16S ribosomal RNA". It matches the Rfam family "Bacterial small subunit ribosomal RNA", at positions 338 to 795 of the family's 1533-position model. The record is from RNAcentral.
CCUACGGGAGGCAGCAGUGGGGAAUAUUGGGCAAUGGGCGCAAGCCUGACCCAGCAACGCCGCGUGAAGGAAGAAGGCUUUCGGGUUGUAAACUUCUUUUCUCAGGGACGAAGCAAGUGACGGUACCUGAGGAAUAAGCCACGGCUACCUACGUGCCAGCAGCCGAGGUAAUACGUAGGUGGAAAGCGUUAUCCGGAGUUGUUGGGAUUAAAGGGUGCGCAGGCGGAAGAUAGAGUCAGCGGUAAAAUUGAGAGGCUUAACCUCUUCGAGCCGUUGAAUCUGGUUUUCUUGAGUGAGUGAGGAGUAUGCUGAAUGCGUGGUGUAGCGGUGAAAUGCAUAGAUAUCACGCAGAACUCCGAUUGCGAAGGCAGCAUACCGGCGCUCAACUGACGCUCAUGCACGAAAGUGUGGGGAUCGAACAGGAUUAGAUAACCCGUGUAGUC